This 434-nucleotide ribosomal RNA is filed under the name uncultured bacterium. RNAcentral's name for it is "partial 16S ribosomal RNA". It matches the Rfam family "Bacterial small subunit ribosomal RNA", at positions 29 to 507 of the family's 1533-position model. The record is from RNAcentral.
AGCGAACGCUGGCGGCAGGCCUAACACAUGCAAGUCGAACGAACCUUUCGGGGUUAGUGGCGGACGGGUGAGUAACACGUGGGAACGUGCCUUUAGGUUCGGAAUAACUCAGGGAAACUUGUGCUAAUACCGAAUGUGCCCUUCGGGGGAAAGAUUAAUCGCCUUUAGAGCGGCCCGCGUCUGAUUAGCUAGUUGGUUGAGGUAAUGGCUCACCAAGGCGACGAUCAGUAGCUGGUCUGAGAGGAUGAUCAGCCACAUUGGGACUGAGACACGGCCCAAACUCCUACGGGAGGCAGCAGUGGGGAAUCUUGCGCAAUGGGCGAAAGCCUGACGCAGCCAUGCCGCGUGAAUGAUGAAGGUCUUAGAAUUGUAAAAUUCUUUCACCGGGGACGAUAAUGACGGUACCCGGAGAAGAAGCCCCGGCUAACUUCGUG